UCUGUAAACAUUUUAUAGUGCAACCACUUUAAAAUCCUACUUUGGAUUCAAUGAUCUUUGAUAAAAAAACAAUAUGUACUUGGAAGAGAAAAAUUGGUAAUUAAAGCAUCAGUGAACAUUAUAUAUGAAAUUAGUAAAAGCUUAGAGUAUAAAUAAACACAUUCAGUAAGCUUCCAGGGUGAUUCCAGUACAGGUCCAAGCUUAACGAAGCUUUUGUGUUUGUUUAAGUAAUAGUUUAAGUGAACCAGAACACAGAGGAGUAGCUAAAGAUUUAUCUUGCAGAGCUAAGAGUCAGUAUAACUUUAUGUAUAACAAAUUAAUAUUGACGAAUUAAUGAUAAUUUAGAAAUUGAAGCUUUUUAAAAUAUAUUUUGUUUGUUUCAGGGGCAGACCAUAACUACAGAAGUGGUAUAUAUUUGAUCAAUCAAAUUUUCAAAAUAUACAAAUUAUUCAUAAAUUUCUCAAGUUUCAGGAAAUAUAUACACAUUGAUGAUAUUAUUUCAUACAUUUUUAUUUUUGUAUUAACUCUUUCUGUGUCGACGCCCAUUUUUACGGAUGUCUGAAAAUUGUGCAAGAAGAGACAAUGUCCAUUUAUACAGUUAAGUCGUGUUGGGCACUUAUCAUACUGCAGCCCUCUUCCAUGAGUGGGCUAAAGCAUCACGUGUGAUACUUCACCAGCACUAGGGUUAAUUUACUACUGAACAUCUACAUCUAAUGGUUAAGCCUGCAGUACCAGUGUGUAAACAAUAAAUUAUCAUACACAUA
Molecule: long non-coding RNA, 764 nt
Organism: Homalodisca vitripennis (glassy-winged sharpshooter)
Lineage: Eukaryota; Metazoa; Arthropoda; Insecta; Hemiptera; Cicadellidae
Exons: 2
Source: RefSeq, a predicted model, not a curated record